Molecule: long non-coding RNA, 298 nt
Organism: Cavia porcellus (domestic guinea pig)
Lineage: Eukaryota; Metazoa; Chordata; Mammalia; Rodentia; Caviidae
Exons: 3
Source: RefSeq, a predicted model, not a curated record
GUUUGCUGCUGGUGGCCACCAUGAACUGCAGCCCAGCCAUGCCUGCCUGUCUUGGAGACAACUGAGUGUGGACUGAAACCUCCAAAAACUGUCCUCCACUGAGUAUCCUGUUGACCAACUGAAGUCACAACUUUAGGAUGCUACCAUGAUGAGUCUAUGGAGGUAUCCUUUCAAGGGUUUCUGGCCUUACCUGACACUAUAUGGCAUUUCAGCUUCCAAAACACUGAACAGAAUGAGAUUCCUUUUCCUUGAAAAGAAAGCAUUGGGUUCUUUGAUUAAACUCUCCCAAACAACUUAA